RNAcentral lists this ribosomal RNA (489 nucleotides) under uncultured Streptococcus sp. Its description in RNAcentral is "bacterial SSU rRNA". It matches the Rfam family "Bacterial small subunit ribosomal RNA", at positions 395 to 875 of the family's 1533-position model. The record is from RNAcentral. Lineage: Bacteria; Bacillati; Bacillota; Bacilli; Lactobacillales; Streptococcaceae.
CGCCGCGUGAGUGAAGAAGGUUUUCGGAUCGUAAAGCUCUGUUGUAAGAGAAGAACGGGUGUGAGAGUGGAAAGUUCACACUGUGACGGUAUCUUACCAGAAAGGGACGGCUAACUACGUGCCAGCAGCCGCGGUAAUACGUAGGUCCCGAGCGUUGUCCGGAUUUAUUGGGCGUAAAGCGAGCGCAGGCGGUUAGAUAAGUCUGAAGUUAAAGGCUGUGGCUUAACCAUAGUAUGCUUUGGAAACUGUUUAACUUGAGUGCAGAAGGGGAGAGUGGAAUUCCAUGUGUAGCGGUGAAAUGCGUAGAUAUAUGGAGGAACACCGGUGGCGAAAGCGGCUCUCUGGUCUGUAACUGACGCUGAGGCUCGAAAGCGUGGGGAGCAAACAGGAUUAGAUACCCUGGUAGUCCACGCCGUAAACGAUGAGUGCUAGGUGUUAGGCCCUUUCCGGGGCUUAGUGCCGCAGCUAACGCAUUAAGCACUCCGCCUG